UAUCCAGUCAGAGAUGGAGACUAUUAUCCAAUAAGAGUUGUCAAAAAAGUUCCUUCUCAUCCAAUCAGAACCAAGCUUCCAAGAUACCGCGGUUGCGUACAGCCGUUAUAAAAGGGAGGCGAAGGCCCACUCCGCCAUUUUCUUUUCGUGGAGGCUGGUCUCUAGUCGUCUGGGCUGCGGUCUUCAUGGACCGGAAGCGUGUGCGGAGCGCCUGCCUCGAGGCCAGCAUCAGGGAAGGGUGUUCCAGGUGAAGGCGAAGCUUCCUUCACGUGUUCUUGGAGGACUUUCCGCUUGCAAGCGCUUCUCCAUUCUCCUAAGAUCUGGGGCCUGUGUGGAAGGAAGAAACCUUCUGAUGGCUUUGGCCCGGGAAUAUGGCGGUUCCAAGCACAAUGCUAUACUGAAAUGGUACCAGAAGACAGAAGGUUAUAUGGGCUCAAGGUGUGAGUGGUCUGAGGCCCGUCAGCGACCCCUGUGCCUCAGUGGGAGAUCGAGUGUCUCCCAUCCCAUGUGGCCACUUGAUCUGCUGAAUUCUGAGUCAGGCCAGGAAUAUGGAUCUAACUCCGCUGGCUACAGAGUUGGAGAGGGUUUUCAAGCCAUGGUGGCAGGUGGUCUCUCAGCCAGAACUGUGGUUCUGGAGGACACAAGGAAACCCACAACUCCUGAACCAUGA
Molecule: long non-coding RNA, 670 nt
Filed under: Rhinopithecus bieti (black snub-nosed monkey)
Lineage: Eukaryota; Metazoa; Chordata; Mammalia; Primates; Cercopithecidae
Description: lncRNA (ENSRBIG00000046197.1)
Source: RNAcentral